GACGAACGCUGGCGGUGCGUCUAAGACAUGCAAGUCGCGCGAUUAAAGCUCCCUUCGGGGAGUGUAUAAAGCGGCGGACGGGUGAGUAACACGUAGCUAACCUACCUUCCGGAUCGGGAUAACGGUGCGAAAGCGCCGCUAAUACCGGGUACGACCUGGAAUCUAUCCGGUUCCAGGUGAAAGCGGGCUUUGUUCCGCGUCGGAAGAGGGGGCUGCGGCCUAUUAGCUAGUUGGUGAGGUAACGGCCCACCAAGGCUGCGAUGGGUAGCUGAUUUGAGAGGAUGAUCAGCCACACUGGGACUGAGACACGGCCCAGACUCCUACGGGAGGCAG
RNAcentral lists this ribosomal RNA (333 nucleotides) under uncultured Spirochaetota bacterium. RNAcentral's name for it is "bacterial SSU rRNA". It matches the Rfam family "Bacterial small subunit ribosomal RNA", at positions 28 to 351 of the family's 1533-position model. The record is from RNAcentral. Lineage: Bacteria; Pseudomonadati; Spirochaetota.